This is a long non-coding RNA of Homo sapiens (human), 97 nucleotides long. The record is from Ensembl. NCBI's taxonomy places the organism in Eukaryota, Metazoa, Chordata, Mammalia, Primates, Hominidae.
GACCCUGUCUCAGAAAAAUAAAUAUCCCAGAUCUUUUCACGUGCAAGUUUGUGAACAACAGAAUGAAGAUUUUAGGCAUUUAAGUGUUGCCUACUAA